AUGGAUACUCUGUUUAAGGCUGCUCUCUUGAGUGUUCUUGGUGAGAAUAUAGUUGAUGCUUAUGCGUCAAUUGAUAAUGGAAAAGAUAUGUGGGAUGCACUCGAGGCCAAGUUUGGGGUCUCAAAUGCUGGCAGUGAGCUGUACAUCAUGGAGCAAUUCUAUGAUUACAGGGUCAUAUUGGCGAGAGAACUUGAGCACUUCAGUUGUAUGCUACCAGAAAAGUUUGUUGCCGGAGGUAUCAUCACUAAGCUUCCUCCUUCAUGGAGGAACUUUGCUACCUUGCUGAAGCAUAAGAGGCAGGAGUUUUCCAUCCCGAAUCUCAUUGGCACUCUUGAUGUGGAAGAAAAGGCGAGAGCAAAGGACACACGUGCUCGAGGUAUUGAGGGAGGAUCUAGUGCCAAUGUGGUACAGAAGCAGAACUUCCAGCCCCACAAGUUCAAGAACAAGGGCAAGUUUGAUGGAAAAGCAAAGUUUGAUGGGAAGAACAAGGCUGUGCAACACACGAACUUCAAGAAGAAGAAUAGCAAGAAGAAAGGUGCUUGUCAUGUGUGUGGGGAUCCUGAUCAUUGGGCUCCUAGUUUCCCUAAUCGCUAUGACAAGCGUCAUCCUGGGAAAGGUGGCAAGACCGCUAAUGUUGUCAUUGGAGACACUGACAUGAAGGAUGCUGGGUAUGGUAUAUUCCCACUAUUCUUUCAGUAUGUCAUUCUCCUGACUGGUUGA
This 720-nucleotide ribosomal RNA is filed under the name Triticum aestivum (bread wheat). RNAcentral describes it as "partial small subunit ribosomal RNA". Lineage: Eukaryota; Viridiplantae; Streptophyta; Magnoliopsida; Poales; Poaceae. The record is from RNAcentral.